Molecule: transfer RNA, 65 nt
Filed under: Evania appendigaster
Lineage: Eukaryota; Metazoa; Arthropoda; Insecta; Hymenoptera; Evaniidae
Description: tRNA-Phe
Source: RNAcentral
AUUUUGAUAUCUUAAUAUAAAGUUUGAUUUUGAAGAGAUCAAGAUGGUUGAUAAAUCUCAAAAUA